Molecule: ribosomal RNA, 459 nt
Filed under: uncultured Treponema sp.
Lineage: Bacteria; Pseudomonadati; Spirochaetota; Spirochaetia; Treponematales; Treponemataceae
Description: partial 16S ribosomal RNA
Rfam family: Bacterial small subunit ribosomal RNA
Source: RNAcentral
ACGGGAGGCGCAGCUAAGAAUAUUCCGCAAUGGACGAAAGUCUGACGGAGCGACGCCGCGUGGAUGAUGAAGGUCGGAAGAUUGUAAAAUCCUUUUAUAACUGAGGAAUAAGCUGGAGAGUGGAAAGCUCUGGUGGUGACUGUAGGUUAUGAAUAAGCAACGGCUAAUUACGUGCCAGCAGCCGCGGUAACACGUAAGUUGCGAGCGUUGUUCGAAAUUAUUGGGCGUAAAGGACAUGUAGGCGGUUUUGCAAGCUUGAUGUGAAAGGCAGGAGCUUAACUCCUGGACUGCGUUGAGAACUGCAUGACUAGAGUCACUGAGGGGCAAUCAGAAUUCCUGGUGUAGGGGUGAAAUCUGUAGAUAUCAGGAAGAAUACCAAUGGCGAAGGCAGGUUACCAGCAGAUGACUGACGCUGAGGUGUGAAGGUGCGGGGAGCAAACAGGAUUAGAUACCCUGGUA